AGUCUCGUAGUGUUUUCACGUCAAAAUGCAAGUUUGAAGAAGGGCCAUAAAAGGCU
This 56-nucleotide transfer RNA is filed under the name Anolis loysiana. RNAcentral's name for it is "tRNA-Cys". The record is from RNAcentral. Lineage: Eukaryota; Metazoa; Chordata; Lepidosauria; Squamata; Anolidae.